CGAGCGCGAAAGCGGCUUCGGUCGUUAGUAGAGCGGCGGACGGGUGAGGAACACGUGGGUAACCUACCCUUGGGUGGGGAAUAACCCAGGGAAACCUGGGCUAAUUCCGCAUAACAUCCUUAGCUCACAAGAGUUUUGGAUCAAAGCCGGGGACCCUUCGGGGCCUGGCGCCAGAGGAGGGGCCCGCGGCCGAUUAGCUUGUUGGUGAGGUAAUGGCUCACCAAGGCUCCGAUCGGUAGCCGGCCUAAGAGGGCGGACGGCCACACUGGGACUGAGACACGGCCCAGACUCCUACGGGAGGCAGCAGUGGGGAAUUUUUGUCAAUGGGGGAAACCCUGAACAAGCAACGCCGCGUGGAGGACGAAGACCUUCGGGUCGUAAACUCCUGUCGGAGGGGACGAAAGCGGCAACGGUUAAUACCCGUAGUCGUUGACGGUACCCUUAGAGGAAGCCCCGGCUAACUCCGUGCCAGCAGCCGCGGUAAUACGGGGGGGGCAAGCGUUGUUCGGAAUUAUUGGGCGUAAAGGGCGUGUAGGCGGCCCUGCAAGUCUUUCGUGAAAUCCCACAGCUCAACUGUGGAACUGCGAGGGAAACUGCAGGACUUGAGUCCGGCAGAGGAGAGUGGAAUUCCCAGUGUAGCGGUGA
RNAcentral lists this ribosomal RNA (645 nucleotides) under uncultured bacterium. RNAcentral's name for it is "bacterial SSU rRNA". It matches the Rfam family "Bacterial small subunit ribosomal RNA", at positions 63 to 684 of the family's 1533-position model. The record is from RNAcentral.